UUGGGACAAAAUUGUGGCAGCCUGUGAAAAAUGGUCCAUCUACAUCUGCGAGGCCCAGAAUCUCAGAAAAUGUGUCGAAAGCAGAGAAACCAAUAGGAAGCUCAAACCCGGGUCGUGUAUUUGGGCAUAACACUGGCACUUCAAGCAGCUGGAUUCCUUCGCUACGCAGAAUUUCUUCGGCCAAAAAAUAGAUAUGGGUUUUGAAGGAGUCACUUGAGGGGGCUUUGUUAGUGUCUCAAAUGUCAGGACACUCACAUUGCCAAAGGAAUGGGACUGUUAUGACGAGCAGGAUGCCUAAAGAUCGUCGUCUUCCCUGAGCAUCGUAUUAUCAUGCUAAAGACAUCGGAUGGUAACUAGGAGCAUACAUGAUGCUGCGUGGGGUAUAUGGCAGAAGGCAGAUGCCCCCAUUUCAGAUUCCAAAGAGGGAAAUUGACGACGAUGAAUCUAUUUGCAGAACAAGCUAUGUCGGUGGAUGUUUAUCCGCUUGCGUCCUGCGGGAGGGGGAAAACGCGGGAAAGGAUGUUUUUCUCAAUGAGGGGUGAGGGAAGUCAAGAUCUUUGAUUCUGCGUUCGGUGUCAAUUCAUUUUUUAUAUCAUCAUCUCACUUGAGUCAGAUUCAAGCGUUGUUUGGCUCAAUAAGGAUAUCUCGAGUGUUUUUUGUAUGCACUCGGCUCAUGAACACGAUUUUUUCCCUACUAAAGAUCAACUUGAUUUGUUUAUAUCUAAAAUAAUACUAUAACAAUAAGGUUCCUUUCUCGUGUCA
Molecule: long non-coding RNA, 762 nt
Organism: Neltuma alba
Lineage: Eukaryota; Viridiplantae; Streptophyta; Magnoliopsida; Fabales; Fabaceae
Exons: 2
Source: RefSeq, a predicted model, not a curated record